RNAcentral lists this non-coding RNA (29 nucleotides) under Mus musculus (house mouse). Lineage: Eukaryota; Metazoa; Chordata; Mammalia; Rodentia; Muridae. The record is from RNAcentral.
UGUCUAGGAGGAAAUCAGAAUUUCAGUGG